AGUAAUGUCUGGGAAGCUGCCUGAUGGAGGGGGAUAACUGCUGGAAACGGUAGCUAAUACCGCAUAACGUCGCAAGACCAAAGAGGGGGACCUUCGGGCCUCUUGCCAUCGGAUGUGCCCAGAUGGGAUUAGCUAGUAGGUGGGGUAACGGCUCACCUAGGCGACGAUCCCUAGCUGGUCUGAGAGGAUGGCCAGCCACACUGGAACUGAGACACGGUCCAG
Molecule: ribosomal RNA, 222 nt
Filed under: uncultured bacterium
Lineage: Bacteria
Description: partial 16S ribosomal RNA
Rfam family: Bacterial small subunit ribosomal RNA
Source: RNAcentral